This 275-nucleotide long non-coding RNA is filed under the name Struthio camelus australis. RNAcentral's name for it is "lncRNA (ENSSCUG00000009390.1)". The record is from RNAcentral. Lineage: Eukaryota; Metazoa; Chordata; Aves; Struthioniformes; Struthionidae.
CAGACACCAAGCGUGCUGCCGCUGGUUCUUUUUACACGUCUUGCCUCUGGCAGUAAGUCACUUCACAGCACGGUAUUACUGUGAAACUUCGCCUCUCUGAUUUUGAAAAUGCAUACCUGAGGAAGCCAAACAUGACGAAAGUAGCAUAAAAAUCUCAUGAAGAGUAGAUGAAACAACUAGGAGACAUUUAAAGAUCCUAUCCAGAACAAAGGAAGAGUGCGGUAAGAAAGGGAAAGAAUCCCAGCAACUCCACACAGAAAGAAAAUGACAAUGAG